RNAcentral lists this ribosomal RNA (500 nucleotides) under uncultured bacterium. Its description in RNAcentral is "partial 16S ribosomal RNA". It matches the Rfam family "Bacterial small subunit ribosomal RNA", at positions 30 to 523 of the family's 1533-position model. The record is from RNAcentral.
AUUGAACGCUGGCGGCAUGCCUUACACAUGCAAGUCGAACGGCAGCACGGGAGCAAUCCUGGUGGCGAGUGGCGAACGGGUGAGUAAUAUAUCGGAACGUGCCCAGUCGUGGGGGAUAACGUAGCGAAAGCUACGCUAAUACCGCAUACGAUCUACGGAUGAAAGCGGGGGAUCGCAAGACCUCGCGCGAUUGGAGCGGCCGAUAUCAGAUUAGGUAGUUGGUGAGGUAAAGGCUCACCAAGCCGACGAUCUGUAGCUGGUCUGAGAGGACGACCAGCCACACUGGGACUGAGACACGGCCCAGACUCCUACGGGAGGCAGCAGUGGGGAAUUUUGGACAAUGGGCGCAAGCCUGAUCCAGCAAUGCCGCGUGCAGGAUGAAGGCCUUCGGGUUGUAAACUGCUUUUGUACGGAACGAAACGGUGAGCUCUAAUACAGUUUGCUAAUGACGGUACCGUAAGAAUAAGCACCGGCUAACUACGUGCCAGCAGCCGCCGCAG